This is a non-coding RNA of Salvelinus sp. IW2-2015, 1285 nucleotides long. The record is from RefSeq and is a predicted model, not a curated record. NCBI's taxonomy places the organism in Eukaryota, Metazoa, Chordata, Actinopteri, Salmoniformes, Salmonidae.
ACGACACCUCGUUUGUUCCCUGCAGCUUAGUUUCCAUAAAGCCCAUGACUGCUCCGCCCACCUAUUCACGCCCCGCCUCCUCUGACCGCAGCCAAGACUCAGCCAUCCUCAAUGGAAUGGAGAGGUGAACCUAGCUCUGAGCAGAAGUCCGACAUAGAGCACUACAGGAACAAGCUGAGGCUGAAGGCUAAGAGGAAAGGCUACUAUGACUUUCCUCAGCGGACGGCAGCGGGUGUGUAGCAGGGCGCUGGCACAAGAGCAGAGACACGGACAUGAGAGGGCACCUGGAGAGCAUGGCCCACCACUGGAGCCUGAUGAAGACCGGGCAUCCACCUACGUCAAGUCCAGCAGGAGACACUCUCAGGUGAGGCAGCGGACCUAUCGGAGCAGGCAGAGCCUGAACAGCCCGAGUACCGGAGGAACAGAGAUGGACCUGCUGGUUAUGAGGGAGAGACCCAGGAGAGGCAUCAGGAACAGCGGUACGACACUGAACCGGAGCUGAUUGAGGAGACCAACGUGGAUCGUCUGAUUGGCCCGCGGGGGGUUAUGUCUGCCCCAAGGGGUCAAAGGUCACUCAGAGACCUCCACGUUGAGCUCCCAGCCGUCCAUUGACGAGGUACGCCAGCAGAUGCACCUCCUCUUGGAGGAGGCCUUCAGCCUGGCCUCAGGGGGACACUCCUCCACAGCCGGACGCCACACCACUCCCAUCAUCCCCACCCCACCACGGUUACCACCACGGCCACUACAGCCCGGACCUCCACCCCUGCCCUACUCUGACGUGGUGACCAGUGCCCCGGGAACCAUGAGCCGUGGCCGGGGAGGAGGGCUGCAGUGGGUGCCGGCUUACGGAGCAGAGAUGUAUCAGUGCAGCCUCCCCAGACCGGCCUUUAGGUUCACCCAGCUUCCUGAUAGGUUAUGACCUCUCCUCCACCCCCUAUUCCCCCUCGCACCGGCCCCCCUCCUGGGACCUCUCUAAGACGCUCAUCGCCUGACCUGAGGUCCAAGGCCAGAUCUCAGAGUCUGGGACCAACAUGACGGACAUGCAGACCAGCAUAAUGACAGCAGCGCCCCCUAUGUCUCUCUCUCCAGAGCAGCACUCCCUUCAGUCCCCCUCUCCAGAGCAGCACUCCCUUCAGUCCCCCUCUCCAGAGCAGCACUCCCUUCAGUCCCCCUCUCCAGAGCAGCACUGCCUUCAGUCCCCCUCUCCAGAGCAGCACUCCCUUCAGUCCCCCUCUCCAGAGCAGCACUGCCUUCAGUCCCCCUCUCCAGAGCAGCACUCCCCUCA